This 759-nucleotide ribosomal RNA is filed under the name Solibacillus isronensis. Its description in RNAcentral is "bacterial SSU rRNA". It matches the Rfam family "Bacterial small subunit ribosomal RNA", at positions 24 to 764 of the family's 1533-position model. Lineage: Bacteria; Bacillati; Bacillota; Bacilli; Caryophanales; Caryophanaceae. The record is from RNAcentral.
UCAGGACGAACGCUGGCGGCGUGCCUAAUACAUGCAAGUCGAGCGGAAAUUUUAUUGGUGCUUGCACCUUUAAAAUUUUAGCGGCGGACGGGUGAGUAACACGUGGGUAACCUGCCUUAUAGAUUGGGAUAACUCCGGGAAACCGGGGGUAAUACCGAAUAAUACUUUUAAACACAUGUUUGAAUGUUGAAAGACGGCAUUUCGCUGUCACUAUAAGAUGGACCCGCGGCGCAUUAGCUAGUUGGUGAGGUAACGGCUCACCAAGGCAACGAUGCGUAGCCGACCUGAGAGGGUGAUCGGCCACACUGGGACUGAGACACGGCCCAGACUCCUACGGGAGGCAGCAGUAGGGAAUCUUCCACAAUGGACGAAAGUCUGAUGGAGCAACGCCGCGUGAGUGAAGAAGGAUUUCGGUUCGUAAAACUCUGUUGCAAGGGAAGAACAAGUAGCGUAGUAACUGGCGCUACCUUGACGGUACCUUGUUAGAAAGCCACGGCUAACUACGUGCCAGCAGCCGCGGUAAUACGUAGGUGGCAAGCGUUGUCCGGAAUUAUUGGGCGUAAAGCGCGCGCAGGUGGUUCCUUAAGUCUGAUGUGAAAGCCCCCGGCUCAACCGGGGAGGGUCAUUGGAAACUGGGGAACUUGAGUGCAGAAGAGGAUAGUGGAAUUCCAAGUGUAGCGGUGAAAUGCGUAGAGAUUUGGAGGAACACCAGUGGCGAAGGCGACUGUCUUCUGUAAGACACGAGGCGCGAAAGGAGCC